AUGGAAGUUCCCAGGCUGGGGUCGAAUCGGAGCUACAGCUGCUGGCCUACACCACAACCACAGCAAUGCCAGAUCUGAGCUGCAUCUGUGACCUACACCACAUCUCAUGGCAAUGGUGAACCCUCAUCCUCAUGGUUCCCAGUCGGAUUUGUUAACCACUGCACCACGGCGGGAACUCCUUUUUUUUUCUUUUGAAUUUGUUGACCCCACAUUUCUCAGAAGCUUCCGUUUACAAAAUUUUCAACAAGCUCACAAACCUACCAGAUUUGCUUCCCAAAAUUCCAAGCUCUGGUUUUCUUUGAGAACAAGGCAAACUGUCUGGAUACACACUUAAAGUUAUAAACAUAGAGGGCACAAAGUCUGAGAGCUUCCAACACUUGGCUCAUCAGAAACACUAGAGAAAGAGAAGAAGGGAGGGAAGGGGUGUGUGUGUGUGUGUGUGUGUGUGUGUGUGAAGGACGUAAAUAUUCGUGUGAUUUCUCUUUCAUGCUAGAAAGCAUCUGGGAUUUGGUACAAGGCUUGAGGCUUGAGAUUGGAGUUGUGUUCUGAAGAAACGAGGGGGACUUGAGAGGGCUGAAAGAGGUAGCACGAUGAAUCUCAAUGUGACAUGUAAACAAAGGAAAUGAGUAAUUGAAAAUAUCCUGUCUGUGUAUUCAUUUUCUGCAUACACGGACAAAGGCCAGGGUAUGAAACAAAUAGUUUCGGCCUUACUGUUACUUUGCUCUAUUAAAAAAAAAAAAAAGUAACAUAGAAGUAUUUCCAUAAAUUUCAUAAAAUUCUAUUCAAGAAGGAAAAAUACCAUACUGUUUUUGUCCACAUUGGAAAAUUCCUUUUCAAAUAGUUUGGGUAAAUUAUUGGGAGACGUGUCAGAGGAUUAAGCUUUCCUGGUUAAACCUAGAAAGUAAAACCUCAUAAAAUGAUGCCUUUGGAGCAGAUUUUGGAGUCAAACAGUUCGAGACAAAUAUUUCAGUGUCCCAUUAUAAGAAUGAUUUCUUGACUUUUAGGCUUGAGGUUUUCCUUUUCUGGGAGAACUGCCCACAUCGGCCUUCUCCUGCCCUUCCCCAGGAUGUGCAGACACAGUGAACUAAGCUCUUCCUGCUAUAAAAAAGACUGUCCAGAGCAAGACUGCCCAUCAGAAAUAGAGCGCCCACUAUGAGUAUAAUUUUCAAUGUUUUAGUAGCCACAUUUAAAAAAGUAAACACAGGAAUUCCCUGGUGGUGCAGUGGGUUGGGGAUCUGGCAUUGUCACUGCUGUGGCAUGGGUUCAGUCCCUGGCCCAGGAUCUUCCACAUGCUGUAGGUGUGGUCAAAAAAAGUAAAAGUAAAUAGAUGAAAUUAACUUUAUUUAUAUAUUUUAUUUAACUCAAUAUAUCCAAAAUACUAUUAAGUUAACAUGUUGAAAGCAGCUCUCUGGCCCCUUUCCUGUUUGGCUUCUUCUGUUCCCCUCUAACCUUUAAAGAACCUAAUUAACCUGUUGAUUCUUUUCCUAGAUAAAAAGAAGCAAGAAUAAAGAAUUAAGCAGUAUAAAAAUGACUAGCUCUCUUCCCCCAGCAUCUCCCUUAGCAAUCUGCAGGCAGAUCAUGGAGGUAAGGUAAUCUGUAGAGUCAACCGGUCUACAUGCAACAAGUAAAGUGGCAAAUUUAAUAAUGUAUCUAAAAGAUGCACAGCCAUAUAUAUGUCUAAUUCUACCUUAACUUUUUCAACCUUUUCUGU
RNAcentral lists this long non-coding RNA (1711 nucleotides) under Sus scrofa (pig). RNAcentral describes it as "lncRNA (ENSSSCG00000041396.1)". The record is from RNAcentral. Lineage: Eukaryota; Metazoa; Chordata; Mammalia; Artiodactyla; Suidae.